UACAGAGGGUGCAAGCGUUAAUCGGAAUUACUGGGCGUAAAGGGCGCGUAGGCGGUUCGCUAAGUUGAAUGUGAAAACUCUGGGCUUAACCCAGAGCCUGCAUCCAAAACUGGCGAACUGGAGUACUGGAGGGGAAAGCGGAAUUCCUGGUGUAGCGGUGAAAUGCGUAGAUAUCAGGAGGAACACCGGUGGCGAAGGCGGCUUUCUGGACAGUAACUGACGCUGAGGCGCGAAAGCUAGGGGAGCAAACAGG
RNAcentral lists this ribosomal RNA (253 nucleotides) under uncultured prokaryote. RNAcentral's name for it is "partial 16S ribosomal RNA". It matches the Rfam family "Bacterial small subunit ribosomal RNA", at positions 524 to 776 of the family's 1533-position model. The record is from RNAcentral.